UUCGCAAAACUUUUCUUGAAUAUAUUGUAUUUAUGUUAGAAUAUGUUAUGAAAGCAAUAACAUUAUACAACUAGUAAUUAAUAAAUAAUGAGUAGAAUAUGCAAAUCAUCAACAAAAUAUACAAGACAUAAUCAAUAAAAGAAUAACAGAAUAAUCUCCUCAAUUUGAAUAAAUGAAACCAUAAUGUUCAGAACAUUUAUAUCUUUUGUGGAGUCGCCAUUCUGUUGACAUCCCUUUUAGACGGCACAACGUCGCGGUGCCUGAAUUAAAAAAGAAUUACUUAAAUAUUAUAAAAUGAGUAAAAAGGGAAAAGAAAAUCACCACCUAAUUUUAAUGGAAAUGUAGAAACCGAUUAAUAAAUUAAUUUUAAAAAUGUCUAUGAAACCAAUUGGUUCUAGGUAAAGGGUUCAAAUUAUUCAAAAGGAAAGGGGUUAGUCAUCUUUUAUAAUCCACAAAUUUGGGUCCCGGCGAAAUUCAUUUUUUUUUAAAAUAGAGGAGAAUAAAAUAAUGUAUAAAUAAAAGAAUCAUACACUAUACACAAGUACUAUGAUAAAACAGUAAUAUAAGAAUCGACCUAAAUUUGCUUAUAGUGAACAAUAUAAAAUAUUGAAUAUGAGUAUAAUUCGAAUAACUCGGUUGUAAAGCACCUCUGAGUACCCAUAAAAACAGUUAGUAAUAAAUAAAUAUGAAUAAAAUUGACAACAAAAAUAACAAUCUAAAAAUAAAAAUCUGUCAUAUCAUCAAAGGACUUGGAAAUGGAUUGUGAUUUCUUCAUCGACGUAUUUUAACAUAUAAAAUAUAUUAACCGAAACAAAAUUUCCGUCUUUUCAAAAUUGAAAGACCUCUAAAAUCGACGAAAUAUUUUUAUCAUUGAACAUUUUAACAUAAAACAAUUCAAUAAAUCACAAAAUAUCUAAAAUUAACCUCAAACAAAAUGAGCAAACAACAUAAUAAUCAAUAACAACAUCAACAGUAACAAAUGGGGGAAAAACGAUUCACCGGAAAAUUUCUUAAAAAAAUAUAUAACAUUGACCAAAAUAAAAAUAAGAUAUUAUAAAAAGCUAUAACAACGAUCAUAAAUAAAGCAAACAUCAACUCGUAGUCAACAAAGAAUGAAAAAUAAAUAAAAUAAUAUACUAUCUAAAAUAGUGAAUCACUAAAUAUAAACUACAAUAAAAUAGGAUCAGAAUAAGCUUAAACAAAAGAGAAAUAUACUGAAAAAUAUCAAUAACCAUGGGGUAACAGAAGAAAAUAAGAUUGUUUGAAGUUUGAGCUCUUCCAAUAAAAAGGAAAAUAAUUUUCAAAUAUAUAAAAACUGCAAACAUAUUUUAAGUAAGUAACACCAAAAAAAUUAAAAUAGAGCAGAUUUUCAAAAUACAAACAUACGAAAACAAUUUAUAUGAAAAUACAAAAGAAGGUAAAAGAUAAUGCAAUUACUAUGGAGUUUAGGUGGAAAAAGAGCUCAUUGAUGGAGUGAUGUUUUGAUUUUGCCGGAUCUGCUUGAGCUUUGGCUCACUGAUUUGCUCAGUUGUUAUUGAUGUUGUUGUUCUCUGGUAACUUGGACUUUUGCUCCAGUUUUGCUCGCUUCGCCUGACUUAAAUGUGAAAACAACUGCAAAUCCAAAUAAAAUAUGAAAAGGGAAAAAAGGAAGGGACUGGUCCGUUUAUCUUGCUAUUGCUAGCUGGAAAAAUGGGAAGAAACAAAAGGGGUUUUGGUGAUUAUUUGCUAGCGGGAAAGAGGAGGAGAAGAGAGGAUUUAAGAGUUGUUGGCUUGCUCCUGUUCAUCAGAGCUUGGAGUUCCUUGCCGGAGUUAGAAAAGAGAAAGGAGUUGGUGUUUUUUGCUCUGUUUUUCAUUGGAAUUUAGGAAGGUUUGAGGUGUGGGGGUGUCUGGAUGGUUUUUAUGGGUUUGGAGGUUUAUUAAGGGAGAACGGAGAAGAAAGAAUGGGGGUUUGAGGGCUGGCUAUUUGUCGGAGAAAGAAAAGAAAAUGGGUUUUUGGGUGGUCAUGGUUGCUGGUUAGAAAAUGAAAUGGAAAUGGAAGAGAGAAGUUUGGUUUCCAAAAUUCAUGGAUGUUGGUGGAAAAAUUGUAGUUUCACCAAAAAAUUGGGAAAAUAAAAUGGGGUUUUGGGGGGUAGACUCGCCGGAUUCAUGCAAAACUCAUGUGACCUACCACUGAAAAAUAAUGAACGAUAAAAUCAUGUAAAAUAAUCCUUAAAUUCUUAUCCACUCCCAAAUCUAUUGAGACUGAUAUUCCAUAUAUAAGGAAUUAUUUAAAAUGGUUCUCAG
RNAcentral lists this long non-coding RNA (2283 nucleotides) under Solanum lycopersicum (tomato). RNAcentral describes it as "long non-coding RNA (SLYC_LNC000109)". The record is from RNAcentral. Lineage: Eukaryota; Viridiplantae; Streptophyta; Magnoliopsida; Solanales; Solanaceae.